AGCAGCCGCGGUAAUUCCAGCUCCAAUAGCGUAUAUUAAAGUUGUUGCAGUUAAAAAGCUCGUAGUUGAAUUUCGGGAUCAGUACGCCGGUCGUGCCUUCGGUAUGCACUGGUGUCACUGGCUUCUCCCUUCUGAAGAACCAUCAUGCCAUUCAGUUGGUGUGGCGGGGAAUCAGGACUGUUACUUUGAAAAAUUGAGUGUUUAAAGCAGGCUCGCGCUUGAAUACAUUAGCAUGGAAUAAUGAAAUAGGACGUUUGACCCUAUUUUGUUGGUUUCUAGGAUCGACGUAAUGAUUAAUAGGGAUAGUUGGGGGCAUUAGUAUCCAAUUGUCAGAGGUGAAAUUCUUGGAUUUAUUGAAGACUAACUACUGCGAAAGCAUUUGCCAAGGAUGUUUUCAUUAAUCAAGAACGAAAG
This 414-nucleotide ribosomal RNA is filed under the name uncultured Glomus. Its description in RNAcentral is "SSU rRNA". It matches the Rfam family "Eukaryotic small subunit ribosomal RNA", at positions 569 to 989 of the family's 1831-position model. Lineage: Eukaryota; Fungi; Glomeromycota; Glomeromycetes; Glomerales; Glomeraceae. The record is from RNAcentral.